GAUGAACGCUGGCGGCGUGCUUAACACAUGCAAGUCGAACGAAGCACUUUAUUUGAUUUCCUUCGGGACUGAUUAUUUUGUGACUGAGUGGCGGACGGGUGAGUAACGCGUGGGUAACCUGCCUUGUACAGGGGGAUAACAGUUGGAAACGGCUGCUAAUACCGCAUAAGCGCACAGCAUCGCAUGAUGCAGUGUGAAAAACUCCGGUGGAAUAAGAUGGACCCGCGUUGGAUUAGCUAGUUGGUGAGGUAACGGCCCACCAAGGCGACGAUCCAUAGCCGAUCUGAUAGGAUGACCGGCCACACUGGGACUGAGACACGGCCCAAACUCCUACGGGAGGCAGCAGUGGGGAAUAUUGCACAAUGGGCGAAAGCCUGAUGCAGCGACGCCGCGUGAGCGAAGAAGUAUUUCGGUAUGUAAAGCUCUAUCAGCAGGGAAGAUAAUGACGGUACCUGACUAAGAAGCUCCGGCUAACUACGUG
This 481-nucleotide ribosomal RNA is filed under the name uncultured bacterium. RNAcentral's name for it is "partial 16S ribosomal RNA". It matches the Rfam family "Bacterial small subunit ribosomal RNA", at positions 28 to 507 of the family's 1533-position model. The record is from RNAcentral.